UAGGUGACCUGCCCUGAAGUGGGGGAUAACAACUCGAAAGAGUUGCUAAUACCGCAUGUGACCACCGAUUCAUUUCGGUGCUCAAAGUCGCAAGACGCUUUAGGAGGGGCCUGCGGCGGAUUAGCUAGUUGGUGGGGUAACGGCCUACCAAGGCGUCGAUCCGUAGCUGAUCUGAGAGGAUGAUCAGCCACACUGGGACUGAGACACGGCCCAG
Molecule: ribosomal RNA, 214 nt
Filed under: uncultured bacterium
Lineage: Bacteria
Description: partial 16S ribosomal RNA
Rfam family: Bacterial small subunit ribosomal RNA
Source: RNAcentral